This 85-nucleotide transfer RNA is filed under the name Felis catus (domestic cat). It matches the Rfam family "tRNA". From Rfam's summary of the family: Transfer RNA (tRNA) molecules are approximately 80 nucleotides in length. Their secondary structure includes four short double-helical elements and three loops (D, anti-codon, and T loops). Further hydrogen bonds mediate the characteristic L-shaped molecular structure. tRNAs have two regions of fundamental functional importance: the anti-codon, which is responsible for specific mRNA codon recognition, and the 3' end, to which the tRNAs corresponding amino acid is attached (by aminoacyl-tRNA synthetases). tRNAs cope with the degeneracy of the genetic code in two manners: having more than one tRNA (with a specific anti-codon) for a particular amino acid; and 'wobble' base-pairing, i.e. permitting non-standard base-pairing at the 3rd anti-codon position. Lineage: Eukaryota; Metazoa; Chordata; Mammalia; Carnivora; Felidae. The record is from Rfam by way of RNAcentral.
GUCUGGGUGGCUCAGUCAGUUGAGCGCCCGACUUUGGAUCAGGUCAUGAUCUCACAGUUCGUGGGUUCAAGUCCCAUGUCAGGCU